Molecule: ribosomal RNA, 568 nt
Filed under: uncultured bacterium
Lineage: Bacteria
Description: bacterial SSU rRNA
Rfam family: Bacterial small subunit ribosomal RNA
Source: RNAcentral
CCUACGGGAGGCAGCAGUGGGGAAUAUUGCGCAAUGGGCGAAAGCCUGACGCAGCGACGCCGCGUGAGGGAUGACGGCCUUCGGGUUGUAAACCUCUUUCAGCAGGGAAGAAGCGAAAGUGACGGUACCUGCAGAAGAAGCACCGGCUAACUACGUGCCAGCAGCCGCGGUAAUACGUAGGGUGCGAGCGUUGUCCGGAAUUAUUGGGCGUAAAGAGCUCGUAGGCGGCCUGUCGCGUCGGAUGUGAAAACUCGGGGCUUAACCCCGAGCCUGCAUUCGAUACGGGCAGGCUAGAGUUCGGCAGGGGAGACUGGAAUUCCUGGUGUAGCGGUGAAAUGCGCAGAUAUCAGGAGGAACACCGGUGGCGAAGGCGGGUCUCUGGGCCGAUACUGACGCUGAGGAGCGAAAGCGUGGGGAGCGAACAGGAUUAGAUACCCUGGUAGUCCACGCCGUAAACGUUGGGAACUAGGUGUGGGCGACAUUCCACGUCGUCCGUGCCGCAGCUAACGCAUUAAGUUCCCCGCCUGGGGAGUACGGCCGCAAGGCUAAAACUCAAAGGAAUUGACGG